GGCAGCAGCUGCGGGUAAGGCACAAAGGAGCUUGGUAUGGUGCCUUGGCUAGUUACACUUGAUAUUCUUCAGGAAAUAUGCAGAAAAGAAAAGCACACAUGUAAAUAGAUUGGAAUCAAUCUAUUGGUGGACUACUUGUGUGACUACAAGGCAGUGAAGCAUAUGGAAUUUUAUCUUGUAAAAUGAAAAUGAUGGCUAGAUUCUACAAAUACUUAGGAACCUUUGCAAAAUCUCAAGGGCCCAUGACUGUUUCAGCAAUUCUUUAAUAGUGAGCAUAAUUAUUUAUCUCAGGUAAAUAAAGGCAAAGCAAUAAUUCCAAAAGACAAUAACAAAACUUCAAAACCUGCCAUUGCCAAGUACAUUGUAAAGAAGGCCAAACAAAGGAUAGUUCUGCAGAGAUGGCAAGAUGAACUCAGCAGAAGACAGAAUAAUAAAGGAGUGAUAUUUGUUGAAAAUAGGGUUCACUUAGAAGGCCCACCUUCAGACUUCUGCUAUAUUGAUGAAUACAAACCAGCUCCUGGAAUCAGCUUAGUAAAUGAAGCUACCUUUUGUUGUUCAUGCACAGAUUGCUUCUUUGAAAAAUGUUGUCUUGGUGAAGCUGGAAUUCUUUUGGCUUAUAGUAAAAACCAACAAAUUAAAAUCCCACCUGUUACUCCCAUCUAUAAAUGCAUCUCAAUCUGUCAAUGUGGACCUCACUGUACCAAUAGGAUUGUACAAAAAGGCACACAGUAAUUCACUUUGCAUCUUUCACAGUAUCAAUGACCAUGGCUGGGGUGUAAAAACCCAUGUGAAGAUUAAAAGAAUAAGUUUUGUCAUGGAAUAAGUUGGAAAGGUAAUCACAAGUGACGAAGCUGAAAGAUGAGGGCAGUUAUAUGACAACAAAUGAUCUGGACUAUGAAUCUGAUGAAUUCACAGAGGAUGCAGCUCAAUAUGGAACUGUAUCUCAUUUUGUGAAUCAUAGUAGUGACCCAAAACUUCAUAUGUUCAAUGUUUUCAUUGAUAACUUGACACUGGCCUUCCCUAAAUAGCUCUGUGUUCCAUGAGAACUAUAAAUGCUGGAGAAGAGUUGAUUUUUGACAAUCAAACAAAAAGUUCUGGGGAUAUAUCUUCAGAGUUUAUUGACCACAGCUCAGCCAAAAAGAGGGUCAGAACUGUAUGUAAAUGUGGAGCUGUGACUUGCAGAGGUUGCCUCAAAUGA
Molecule: long non-coding RNA, 1198 nt
Filed under: Homo sapiens (human)
Lineage: Eukaryota; Metazoa; Chordata; Mammalia; Primates; Hominidae
Description: non-protein coding lnc-ADGRB3-7:1
Source: RNAcentral